UACCUGCCGCUCAAGUAGUGACCACUAUUAUUGGGCCUAAAACGUUCGUAGCCGGUUUGGUAAAUGCCUGGGUAAAUCGUGUAGCUUAACUAUACGAAUUCCGGGUAGACUGCCAAACUUGAAACCGGGAGAAGCUAGAGGUACUCCUGGGGUAGAGGUGAAAUUCUGUAAUCCUAGGGGGACCACCAGUGGCGAAGGCGUCUAGCUAGAACGGGUUUGACGGUGAGGAACGAAGCCCUGGGGCGCAAACCGGAUUAGAUACCCGGGUAGUCCAGGGUGUAAACGCUGCUUGCUUGAUGUUAGUUGGGCUCCGAGCCCAAUUAGUGUCGGAGAGAAGUUGUUAAGCAAGCUGCCUGGGAAGUACGAUCGCAAGAUUGAAACUUAAAGGAAUUGGCGGGGGAGCACAGCAACGGGUGGAGCGUGCGGUUU
RNAcentral lists this ribosomal RNA (429 nucleotides) under uncultured archaeon. RNAcentral's name for it is "bacterial SSU rRNA". It matches the Rfam family "Archaeal small subunit ribosomal RNA", at positions 474 to 903 of the family's 1478-position model. The record is from RNAcentral.